UUAGUCUCUCAAACUCAAGAAGUGUUAGAGAAAAAGUAAGGAUAAAAUAUAAAUUACAUCAAAAUUAAGAAAAGACUUAGCGUUUGAGCCACAAAGCAGGCACGCUAAAAACGUAAUAAUUUUUUUUAACUAAAUAAAAAGCUAAGUAGGAACUUCCAGUCAUAAUAGGGGAUUAAGCCACUGCAUCUGAUAAGUAAAAGUAAAGUUAGGAUGAUUUGUCUUCAACCACCAAAAAGACUUGAGCUUAAUUUUAUCUAUAAACUGAUUAAUAGAAUCUCCUUUAUGUUGAAAGACUCUAGCAUUCUGGUCAUGCCAAACAAUCCAAACAAAAGAGAGUCAGAUCAAAUAAAAAGCAUAACAAGUGUGUUUUAAGAAUCCACCCCAGCGAGCAAAAUUGAAUGAUGUGAUCCUUGGCAUGAGCCGGCUUAACUGAAAUCAAGUCCACCCAAUUAUAAAUUUCAUACCAAAUAAGUCUGUAAAAGUCACAAACCAAAAACAGAUGGUAAAUAUCCUUUUGAAAACCGCAACCACCCAAACAAAAAAUUGAAUUUGGCUGAAGAACCCUUCUCUUGAUUAAGUUGUCAACGGUUGGAAGCCGGUAACGUAAUAGACGUCAAGCAAAAAUGUUGACGUAUAAGUUUAAGAUUUUACCAUGUCCGAGAAGUUCA
RNAcentral lists this long non-coding RNA (668 nucleotides) under Medicago truncatula (barrel medic). RNAcentral's name for it is "long non-coding RNA (MTRU_LNC006987)". Lineage: Eukaryota; Viridiplantae; Streptophyta; Magnoliopsida; Fabales; Fabaceae. The record is from RNAcentral.